UACGUAGGCAGCGAGCGUUGUUCGGAGUUACUGGGCGUAAAGAGUGCGUAGGCGGUUGUUUAAGUCUGUCGUGAAAUCCCCGGGCUCAACCUGGGAAUGGCGAUGGAUACUGGGCAGCUAGAGUGUGUCAGAGGACGGUGGAAUUCCCGGUGUAGCGGUGAAAUGCGUAGAGAUCGGGAGGAACAUCAGUGGCGAAGGCGGCCAUCUGGGACAACACUGACGCUGAAGCACGAAAGCGUGGGGAGCAAACAGG
RNAcentral lists this ribosomal RNA (253 nucleotides) under uncultured bacterium. Its description in RNAcentral is "partial 16S ribosomal RNA". It matches the Rfam family "Bacterial small subunit ribosomal RNA", at positions 524 to 776 of the family's 1533-position model. The record is from RNAcentral.